RNAcentral lists this ribosomal RNA (520 nucleotides) under uncultured bacterium. RNAcentral describes it as "partial 16S ribosomal RNA". It matches the Rfam family "Bacterial small subunit ribosomal RNA", at positions 28 to 523 of the family's 1533-position model. The record is from RNAcentral.
GACGAACGCUGGCGGCGUGCUUAACACAUGCAAGUCGAACGGAGAAUUUUACUUCGGUGAAAUUCUUAGUGGCGAACGGGUGAGUAACGCGUAGACAACCUGCCUCUUAGAUGGGGACAACAUCGCGAAAGCGGUGCUAAUACCGAAUGAAGUGGAGCUUCCGCAUGGAAGCAUCACCAAAGGUGGCCUCUAUUUAUAAGCUACCACUGAGAGAGGGGUCUGCGUCUGAUUAGCUAGUUGGCGGGGUAAUGGCCCACCAAGGCGACGAUCAGUAGCCGGUCUGAGAGGAUGAACGGCCACAUUGGGACUGAGACACGGCCCAAACUCCUACGGGAGGCAGUAGUGGGGAAUCUUCCGCAAUGGACGAAAGUCUGACGGAGCAACGCCGCGUGAGUGAAGAAGGUUUUCGGAUCGUAAAGCUCUGUUGUUUGAGACGAAUGUGCAGACUUUGAAUAAGGGUUUGUAAUGACGGUAUUAAACGAGAAAGCCACGGCUAACUACGUGCCAGCAGCCGCGGUAA